This 656-nucleotide unclassified non-coding RNA is filed under the name Hevea brasiliensis (rubber tree). Lineage: Eukaryota; Viridiplantae; Streptophyta; Magnoliopsida; Malpighiales; Euphorbiaceae. The record is from RNAcentral.
ACUGCUUGGACUGUAUCGCUUGUUUCUUUUUGUGACAUAUGCUGGCUUCCAUUAUUGAACUAUUGUCUGGUAUUGUGUUAGUUACUAUGUGCUUUAGGAUCAUACUGCCCAAUGGAAAUUAUAUUUGUAUGUUCUUAAUCAUGAUUGGCAUGAAUGCUUUUUCUGGAAAGUGAUCCUCUUAUUUCAAAGGUUGUAUUUGAAAUCUGUAAAAGAUGGUGCCCAUCCAUAUAAAAAUGAAGAGAUUAGGCCAGUGAAUGAAAGCCUCCUAAAUAUGGGAAAUAGAACAAUAUUAUGAGUUUCACGGGCCUAGUGGAUUUUAGUUUCAAGCAACUUCAUUGUAUAUGUUUUUUAGAUGAUGGAACCAUAAAAACUAAACUCUAUGAAUCGGUUACUUGUCGGAAUUUGGACAUAUAUAAUCAGUUUAUGUAGGCAGUUUAUUUGCUCACUUUUGUUUGUAGGAAAUCAAUAUUAAUCUCCAGGUUUUUCUUGAGUUUGUUUGUCCCUACAAUUAGUUCUAUAGUACAUUAUAGUUCUUCAAGAGACUCAAUUGGUUCUGCAAAUCCCCUAUCAUAAAUAUUCUGUAUUCUUGUUUCUGCAUGCUCAAAAGUGUGGCUGAUAGUCCAUCACUAAUCUGAUUAUAAUUAAUUAUAUGUCCA